Molecule: long non-coding RNA, 1230 nt
Organism: Magnolia sinica
Lineage: Eukaryota; Viridiplantae; Streptophyta; Magnoliopsida; Magnoliales; Magnoliaceae
Exons: 2
Source: RefSeq, a predicted model, not a curated record
ACCUUACCUUUCAUGUGGGUUUUCUGUAUUGGAAAGGAAUUGGUAUUUACACCCACUAUUUUGAAAGAAAACACCAUUUUUUUUUCUAUUUUUAACAAUACAAUAUACCACUUUGCACUAUUCUAUUACCCAAAGUAGAAAAAAUUGUGUGAAAUAGCUAUAUACACUGGCCCUUGGUUCAUGUACACCUAUAUAUACAUAUGUAUUUAUGUAUGAGAAGUUCUAAAUCAAAGCGGCUUGAAGCAAGUUUACCAUCCGCCCAGUGAAUAACUUCCAACCUAUCACAUUUUUACAACAUCCAACCCUUCCAAUAGUUUGGUCCCACUAUGAGGAUCAAUGUUUACAAACAUCAGACCUAUCCACUUAUCAGGUGGGCCACAUCAUAGAAACAAUGUAUAGCCAUUGAUAAAUGAAAAAAUGCAGCUGUGGUCCACUCCAUGAGUGGAUGUGGCUGAUUUUAAUUAUAUGUGAUUUUCAUAGUGUGAACAAUUUAUUGGACUGCUUGGAUUUCACACGCACGUAAAAUUUUGAAAGUUACCUGCCGGAUGGACUGUAACUUAUGGUCCAUCUGGUUGUAUUGAGACUUUGUACGUAUAUAUACGUAUGCAUGCAUGCGUAUACGUUCAAGAUGGCUAAUGAAAUUCGUUUUUUCCCUUUUAUGUACUGUUGUUUGGUCAGAUUUAAUUUGGAGGAUGAGAAGUAUGAGAUCAAAAGAAGAGCUGUCUCAUUUCAAAUUCCAACUGAUUACCAAGAAGUGGGCCACGCCCAUCUCCAUGAAUGCAAGAACUGGAAUCUUUGGUGUCGACAGAAUCUUCGUCAAUGGAAUUAAGGAAGAUUUCUCAUUAAUACACUUUCGUGCCUAAGUCAGGCUCUAUCCUACCUGAGCUUUUUAUCCCUCCACCAUCCAUCUUUUUUCUUUUAAUACUUGCUUCCUUCUCUACAUCACUUUCAUCUCCUUCUUUCUUAUCAUCUUCUUUCACGACCUCAUGGUGUUAGUUUUCUUGACCUUGUAAGACCUUUUCUUGACCUUGUAAGACCUCUGGUCACACUUACUAUCUUUAUUUUUAUCUGGGCCAUCGUCAUUCUUUAAAAGGCAUCGCUUGCAAGAACGACUUUCACUUUUCUCCAAUCUUAUCUUAUCCAUCUUCUUCACCUCCGGCUAUCCCUCGUGAGCUACUGUAUAUCAUGUUUGGAUGUACAAAUGAAUUGAAUUGAAAAUUCUCAGUUACA